UACGUAGGGCGCAAGCGUUGUCCGGAAUUAUUGGGCGUAAAGAGCUCGUAGGCGGUGUGUCACGUCGGCCGUGAAAACCUGCAGCUUAACUGUGGGCGUGCGGUCGAUACGGGGCAUCACUGGAGUUCGGCAGGGGAGACUGGAAUUCCUGGUGUAGCGGUGAAAUGCGCAGAUAUCAGGAGGAACACCGGUGGCGAAGGCGGGUCUCUGGGCCGAUGACUGACGCUGGAGGAAGCGAAAGCGUGGGGAGCAAACAGG
Molecule: ribosomal RNA, 258 nt
Filed under: uncultured bacterium
Lineage: Bacteria
Description: partial 16S ribosomal RNA
Rfam family: Bacterial small subunit ribosomal RNA
Source: RNAcentral